Eriocheir sinensis (Chinese mitten crab) is the source of this 1678-nucleotide long non-coding RNA. RefSeq lists it as uncharacterized. The record is from RefSeq and is a predicted model, not a curated record. The transcript is spliced from 3 exons. NCBI's taxonomy places the organism in Eukaryota, Metazoa, Arthropoda, Malacostraca, Decapoda, Varunidae.
ACAGCCAAACUAGUCUUUCGUACCUGUUUCCUUAGUGCCAUUUCCAUGUCUUUCUGAGUGUCAAUUAGUACCAGGACAGCAAAAUGGGAUGUUUAGUGCCUGACGGGACAGCUUGGUGGGGUAACAAGAGGCAUGAUGCGUCUGCCUCCCUUCAAAGCAUCUCUGCAUUGCUUUAAGAAUAUUCUGCAAGUUUAAAGCUGAUGAAGGAAGACGUACAGCAGCUAAAGUCACCAUACACUAGGCUGAAGCCCCUGUCCAUAGCUAAGGGAGCUGAUUGCUUAGAUGAAAGGAGGGUAGGCCUUGGUGAGGGAGGGGGCAGGGCAUCUGGAGCAAUUCAAUAUGCAAAGUUUGAGUGUCUGGUGAAGUAGUAAGAAGCAUGAUGUCUGUUUCCUCCACUCACUUGGGGCCUUGGAGCUGGAGAACACAAAGGAAGAACAAACAACAGCAGACCUGAUGGUUCUUAUGAGGCUGUUUGUGACAAGCUACACUAACUAUCUAAUCAAAGGUGGAAGAUGAAGGACAGUAAGAUGAAGAAGCGUCUCUCAGCCCUUCCUUUCGGGUGCCGGCUUUGUCAAACUCUUCAUGGAAAUUUGUGACCUGCCGACCACUGUGCUGCUGAUGAAGCUUGUGGAGGAGGGAGACAGUGCGAUGGGCACAGUCAUGCUGCUCAACUUUCUCAAUGCUUGGAAGGUCCAGCUUGCCUCAGAACUAGCAGUGGUGCCAGAAUGCUAGGGGUACAUCAGCUGCAUCCCACACUCCCAGGCUGUGCUUGGGACACGCUACAUGGGAGUACUUGCAUGGGAGGGCCUGAUACAAAAUGUAUUGUGAACAGGUGUAGUAUUUUUCAUGAGUUUUGGAGAUUUUGGAGGCUAUCCAAUCUAAUACUUACUUAUCAAUCUUUACAUAUAUUUGUUUCCCCAGAAACAGGAUUAAGUUUGGCAUUGCCCAUGCUGCUUUUAGUUUGAAUAAAAUGCAAUUAGAAGUAUUUUUUUUCAUUUUUCAAAAGUUGGGGUUAGUGUAUAAUUCAAUAGGUUAUGUGUUUAAGGGUUAAAGAUAUUCAAGAAAUUUUUUUGCCACGUACAUAAACCACGCAAUUUCACUCAGCCUCCAUAGGGGGGGGGGGUCGAGAGGGGCAAAGCCCCCCGUUAGAAGGUUAUGUAAAGUUAGGUUGGAGUAGUUUAAAUAUAUUCCAGGGAUUUUUUGCCAUGUAUGGAAACCUCGCAGUUUCACUCAGUUAUUAUAGCAGAGGGGGGCUUGAGAGGGGUGAAGCCCCCCCACCCCAUUAGAAGGUUAUGUAAAGUUAGGUUGGAGUAGUUUAAAUAUAUUCCAGGGAUUUUUUGCCAUGUACGGAAACCUCGCAAUUUCACUCAGUUAUUAUAGCAGAGGGGGGCUUGAGAGGGGUGAAGCCCCCCCACCCCAUUAGAAGGCUAUGUAAAGUUAGGUUGGAGUAGUUCAAAUAUGUUGGACACACGGUGUAAGCUGUGGGAAAUAUGCAGCGCGGGACGUGUAACCACAGUCAGUUGAUUGUUAAGGAAAGACCCGUCUGUCUGAUGCGAUCUCUAGUUUUAUGGAUCAAACCUGUCAGUAUGAAGUACAUGUAACCAUCACACUCCGAGAAUCAUCUAUUCUCAUCACUGCGUUUAUACAUCAGUGAUAACUGAUUGCUGUCCAGUUGAGU